CCUACGGGUGGCAGCAGUGAGGAAUAUUGGUCAAUGGGCGUAAGCCUGAACCAGCCAAGUCGCGUGAGGGAUGAAGGUUCUAUGGAUCGUAAACCUCUUUUAUAAGGGAAUAAAGUGUGGGACGUGUCCGAUUUUGUAUGUACCUUAUGAAUAAGGAUCGGCUAACUCCGUGCCAGCAGCCGCGGUAAUACGGAGGAGCCGAGCGUUAUCCGGAUUUAUUGGGUUUAAAGGGUGCGUAGGCGGCCUUUUAAGUCAGGGGUGAAAGUCUGUGGCCCAACCAGAGAAUUGCCGUUGAAACUGGGGGGCUUGUGUACGUUUGAGGCAGGCGGAAUGCGUGGUGUAGCGGUGAAAUGCUUAGAUAUCACGCAGAACCCCGAUUGCGAAGGCAGCAUGCCAAGCCAUGACUGACGCUGAUGCACGAAAGCGUGUGGAUCAAACAGGAUUAGACCCUUGUAGUC
This 458-nucleotide ribosomal RNA is filed under the name uncultured bacterium. RNAcentral's name for it is "partial 16S ribosomal RNA". It matches the Rfam family "Bacterial small subunit ribosomal RNA", at positions 338 to 795 of the family's 1533-position model. The record is from RNAcentral.